UUCACCGCUGCGAAGCCAACUUUACGGGCGCGCCGCCGACUCGUUUCCGUCAGUGCCAGCGGACCGUCGAGCGUGCGUUGCACCGAUUGGCUCCGGGUUGCAGUAUGACGGGGUACAGCGCACCAAACUGCGCAAAUUGCACGGAAGGUGGCAAAGCCUUUUACACGAAGCCGGCCGGCUCCGAAAAGGACAGGAUAUGCGAGGUGCGUUCGCCUUGUUUACAGAGCUUCGAAUUCUGCCCCCCAAGGCUCCAAGAACCAGCACUCAUCCCCUGAUGCCACCAGCCAUUGCUCAUCCAUUCCCUCGUACGAAAUAAAUUUGA
Long non-coding RNA from Dermacentor albipictus, 322 nucleotides. RefSeq lists it as uncharacterized. The record is from RefSeq and is a predicted model, not a curated record. NCBI's taxonomy places the organism in Eukaryota, Metazoa, Arthropoda, Arachnida, Ixodida, Ixodidae.